AAAACGGCUCUUUUCAGAGCCUUUCAGUUUUAUGUUAAGAUUUGG
This is a non-coding RNA of Glossina morsitans morsitans, 45 nucleotides long. The record is from Rfam. NCBI's taxonomy places the organism in Eukaryota, Metazoa, Arthropoda, Insecta, Diptera, Glossinidae.